UUCUAUGUUGUUUUUCUUUUUUUCUUCUACAAACAGAAACAGUAUACAAAGUUUGAUACCAUACAUCCAGUUUAUAUAAUAUACACCAUGCCAACCUCUACGAGAGCAGCAUGGGGGAUGUUCAAUGCCACUGGAGGUUCUCGGCAAUUUUUAUCAAGAAAAACAUAGGCCAUAAUCAGGAAUUUUUUCAAAAAGUUUGAAUCAUUACGCACUGUUAAAUGCGACUGACCUAGGAAAUAUGCGGUGCCACUUUCCCUGGCAUCAAUCAAUUCUUGUAGCUCCUCCCUGACAGAUACCCGCAUUCUAGGACUACCUUCUGGCAUUAGAAAUCGAACCUUUUUUCUUCUGACCGGAGUUUUUCUUUCGAUCAAAUCUUCUAAUGGACUUGCCAGAGUUUCAUUGUUAGCUAUAUUUGUGGAGCCGGCAAAUGAGGUGGUAUCAUGCAUAGGAAUCAGUGCAUUUCUGUCCACCAAUGGCUUCCCAACAAUCAUCAUUCUUCCUUCAGGAGAAGUCAGAGAUUCACAAUCACUUUCUUCUAAGGAAAUGAAUUCUCCGAUUGAGCUAAUAAUCUGUUCCUCAAAAUCAUCUGUGUCUCUUAUCUGAUCACAGUACCCAUACCUCACAAUGCAUCUGUAAAUUCUGUAAUCUUCGGUACCAACUCUGCCUACAAGAUACCGCUCACGGGGAG
RNAcentral lists this long non-coding RNA (688 nucleotides) under Populus trichocarpa (black cottonwood). RNAcentral's name for it is "long non-coding RNA (PTRI_LNC003416)". Lineage: Eukaryota; Viridiplantae; Streptophyta; Magnoliopsida; Malpighiales; Salicaceae. The record is from RNAcentral.